CCAUCAAUGGGGUCACAACAAGCAAACCUGGAGUAUCCUUGGUCUACUCCAUGCCCUCCUAGAACUGUCCCUGUGGCUGGAGGGUCUCCAGGAGAGAGACUCUGGCCCCUACAGCUGCUCCGUGAAUGUGCAAGACAAACAAGGCAUCAUUACGGGCUACAUCAUCAAAACCUUAGAACUCAGUGUACAGGGUGAGUGAGAAGCACAGACUUCCGGACCCCUCCCCACCUGCACUGGGAGGUCAGGCGAGUCACUCUCCUAAAUGGCUGAGGGCAAGAGUUGGAGAAGGGAUAAAUGAAACGACAGAAGGGUGCAGACAGAAGGGUCACCAAUGUGACCCUGAGCUGCCAGUCUCCGAGGAGUAAGCCCGCUGCCCAAUAUCAGUGGGAUCGGCAGCUUCCAUCCUUCCAGACUUUCUUUGCACCAGCAUUUG
RNAcentral lists this long non-coding RNA (433 nucleotides) under Homo sapiens (human). Its description in RNAcentral is "non-protein coding lnc-NRGN-3:1". The record is from RNAcentral. Lineage: Eukaryota; Metazoa; Chordata; Mammalia; Primates; Hominidae.